Molecule: ribosomal RNA, 433 nt
Filed under: uncultured bacterium
Lineage: Bacteria
Description: partial 16S ribosomal RNA
Rfam family: Bacterial small subunit ribosomal RNA
Source: RNAcentral
AACGAACGCUGGCGGCAUGCCUAACACAUGCAAGUCGAACGAGACCUUCGGGUCUAGUGGCGCACGGGUGCGUAACGCGUGGGAACCUGCCCUUAGGUUCGGAAUAACUCCCCGAAAGGGGUGCUAAUACCGGAUAAUGUCUUUGGACCAAAGAUUUAUCGCCUUUGGAUGGGCCCGCGUUGGAUUAGCUAGUUGGUAGGGUAAAAGCCUACCAAGGCGACGAUCCAUAGCUGGUCUGAGGGGAUGAUCAGCCACACUGGGACUGAGACACGGCCCAGACUCCUACGGGAGGCAGCAGUGGGGAAUAUUGGACAAUGGGCGAAAGCCUGAUCCAGCAAUGCCGCGUGAGUGAUGAAGGCCUUAGGGUUGUAAAGCUCUUUUACCCGGGAUGAUAAUGACAGUACCGGGAGAAUAAGCUCCGGCUAACUCCGUG